ACCCCAUUUCCCUUUGGUCCUCGGUGAGAAAUCCGUGCUUUCUUCUCUACUCUUAAUAAGGCUGCACCAUAGGACUUGCAGGCUUCUGUAGUUGGAGAGCUGUUCUCCUUUGCAGGGAAGUUCCUGGGCUUUGCUCCAAAGCUGCCCCGGAAUGUUUUGGUUGGUUUGGAGAAAAGCUGUGGCGUCUACACCACUUGUUCCAAGCAGGCGGCCCCCUGGUGGCUAACUGGGGGUGAAAAAGCUGGCCAGUGAGGAGGAAGUCUGGCGCAGAUGUUAAAACUUAGGAAGGCUAAAACUUAGGAAGAUCAAAUAAUCUGCUCAAGCUCAGGCCUGGGUACUGGGUGACAGAGGGUAUACUCUUAACCAGCUCAUCAUGCUACCUGCAUGCAACACAAGGAGUUAUUGGAUAGGCACAUGAGGCUGGAAAAGGUAGAAGAUUCUGAGGCCCUGGGCGGGAACUAGUAAGCCACAAUCUGGAAGAGUCUUUUAUCACCAUGUGGAGACCUAGAGCAUUCAUGUUGAACUAUUACUGAGAUAAGCAAUCAACUUCUUUUGUGUUAAGUCACUGAAAGUAAAAUUUCUAGCUGGACAUAUGGCUCCCCAGAAUGAAGUCUGUGCUCCCUAGCAUCCCUUCAGCAUCUUUGGGGCUACUGGAUAAAUUCUGAGCAAUGGACAUAUAUAGAAGUGUUAUGUGGUUGCAUCUGGGAAGUUUCUUUAUGCUUUGUCCCUUAUUUUUCACCCUCCUCUUCCUGAUGGCUGAACAUUUGUACAAUGGCCAGACCUGGAGAAAACAUCCUGGGGAACCUUGGGAAUGGAGGUCCAGCCUUGGGGAGCAACAAAGUCAGAGGAUCCUAAAUUUCAUG
This 863-nucleotide long non-coding RNA is filed under the name Pongo abelii (Sumatran orangutan). RNAcentral's name for it is "lincRNA". The record is from RNAcentral. Lineage: Eukaryota; Metazoa; Chordata; Mammalia; Primates; Hominidae.